GAUGAACGCUGGCGGCGUGCCUAAUACAUGCAAGUCGAGCGAACAGACGAGGAGCUUGCUCCUCUGACGUUAGCGGCGGACGGGUGAGUAACACGUGGAUAACCUACCUAUAAGACUGGGAUAACUUCGGGAAACCGGAGCUAAUACCGGAUAAUAUAUUGAACCGCAUGGUUCAAUAGUGAAAGACGGUUUUGCUGUCACUUAUAGAUGGAUCCGCGCCGCAUUAGCUAGUUGGUAAGGUAACGGCUUACCAAGGCGACGAUGCGUAGCCGACCUGAGAGGGGGAUCGGCCACACUGGAACUGAGAAACGGGCCAGACUCCUACGGGAGGCAGCAGUAGGGAACCUUCCGCAAUGGGCGAAAGCCUGACGGAGCAACGCCGCGUGAGUGAUGAAGGUCUUCGGAUCGUAAAACUCUGUUAUUAGGGAAGAACAAAUGUGUAAGUAACUAUGCACGUCUGGACGGUACCUAAUCAGAAAGCCACGGCUAACUACGU
This 496-nucleotide ribosomal RNA is filed under the name uncultured bacterium. RNAcentral's name for it is "partial 16S ribosomal RNA". It matches the Rfam family "Bacterial small subunit ribosomal RNA", at positions 28 to 506 of the family's 1533-position model. The record is from RNAcentral.